RNAcentral lists this transfer RNA (93 nucleotides) under Kineosporia sp. NBRC 101731. Its description in RNAcentral is "tRNA-Ala". The record is from RNAcentral. Lineage: Bacteria; Bacillati; Actinomycetota; Actinomycetes; Kineosporiales; Kineosporiaceae.
GGGCCUGCUGGUGCGGCGGUUCGGUUCGGCAUCGGUGGCGGCGGUGGGCAUGGCGCUGACCGGGGUCGGCGUGAUCGCGGCGGGUCUGGCCCC